RNAcentral lists this ribosomal RNA (460 nucleotides) under uncultured bacterium. Its description in RNAcentral is "partial 16S ribosomal RNA". It matches the Rfam family "Bacterial small subunit ribosomal RNA", at positions 338 to 795 of the family's 1533-position model. The record is from RNAcentral.
CCUACGGGUGGCAGCAGUGAGGAAUAUUGGUCAAUGGACGAGAGUCUGAACCAGCCAAGUAGCGUGAAGGAUGACUGCCCUAUGGGUUGUAAACUUCUUUUAUAUGGGAAUAAAACGUUCCACGUGUGGGAUUUUGUAUGUACCCCAUGAAUAAGGAUCGGCUAACCCCGUGCCAGCAGCCGCGGUAAUACGGAGGAGACGAGCGUUAUCCGGAUUUAUUGGGUUUAAAGGGUGCGUAGGCGGGUUUUUAAGUGAGUUGUGAAAGUUUGCGGCUCAACCGUAACAUGGCAGUUGAAACUGGCAGUCUUGAGUACGAUAGAGGUGAGCGGAAUUCGUGGUGUAGCGGUGAAAUGCUUAGAUAUAACGAAGAACUCCGAUUGCGAAGGCAGUUCACUGGACUGCAACUGACACUGAGGCUCGAAAGUGUGGGUAUCAAACAGGAUUAGAUACCCCAGUAGUC